This 503-nucleotide ribosomal RNA is filed under the name uncultured bacterium. RNAcentral describes it as "partial 16S ribosomal RNA". It matches the Rfam family "Bacterial small subunit ribosomal RNA", at positions 28 to 523 of the family's 1533-position model. The record is from RNAcentral.
GAUGAACGCUAGCGGCAGGCCUAACACAUGCAAGUCGAGGGGUAGCAGGAUUAAGCUUGCUUAAUUGCUGACGACCGGCGCACGGGUGCGUAACGCGUAUGCAACCUACCUUAUACUGGGGUAUAGCCCGGAGAAAUUCGGAUUAAUACCCCAUAGUACUAAUGAAUCGCAUGGUUUAUUAGUUAAAGCAUUGCGGUAUAAGAUGGGCAUGCGUCCUAUUAGCUAGAUGGUGAGGUAACGGCUCACCAUGGCUACGAUAGGUAGGGGGCCUGAGAGGGUGGUCCACCACACUGGUACUGAGACACGGACCAGACUCCUACGGGAGGCAGCAGUGAGGAAUAUUGGUCAAUGGGCGCAAGCCUGAACCAGCCAUGCCGCGUGCAGGAAGAAUGCCCUAUGGGUUGUAAACUGCUUUUAUUUGGGAAUAAACCUCUUUACGUGUAGAGAGCUGAAGGUACCAAAUGAAUAAGCACCGGCUAACUCCGUGCCAGCAGCCGCGGUAA